RNAcentral lists this ribosomal RNA (376 nucleotides) under uncultured eukaryote. RNAcentral describes it as "partial 18S ribosomal RNA". It matches the Rfam family "Eukaryotic small subunit ribosomal RNA", at positions 592 to 976 of the family's 1831-position model. The record is from RNAcentral.
CAAGAGCGUAUAUUAAAGUUGCUGCGGUUAAAAAGCUCGUAGUUGGAUUUCAGUCUAGGAAGGUUAACUCGCCGAAAGGUUGUACGUUGAUUUUCCUCAGACUUCGUCAGAAGCUCGUGCUGCACUUAACUGUGUGGUACGAUGUUCUGACCUUCUACCUUGAGGAAAGUAGAGUGUUUCAGGCAGGCUACCCAGCUUGAAUACAUUAGCAUGGAAUAAUGAAAUGGAUCUCGGUUCGAUUUCGUUGGUUCUAGAGCUGAGGUGAUGAUCAAUAGGAACAGGCGAAGGUAUUCGUACUUGAGAGUGAGGAGUGAAAUCCGAUGAUCUCUUAAAGACGAUCCGAGGCGAAAGCAUUUGUCAAGGAUGUUUUCAUUGA